This is a long non-coding RNA of Arabidopsis thaliana (thale cress), 511 nucleotides long. RefSeq annotates it as other RNA. The transcript has 2 exons. The record is from RefSeq. NCBI's taxonomy places the organism in Eukaryota, Viridiplantae, Streptophyta, Magnoliopsida, Brassicales, Brassicaceae.
AUACUGCUCGUUGCUUUCAUUGUCCAUGUCUUCGUUAUAUCCCUCUUUCCCACUUUCGCAUCCUUAGUCGUCGUUUGUGUUCUCCUUCGCCGUCGACAACUGAAUCCAUGGCCGGGAUCUUUGAUCUUGUGAAAUUAGGAGAGACUUGAUAUGAAAGCAAUCUGAAUUGACCUAAGAUGUAGUCACAACAGAGAUCAAUCACCAAAAAGAGCCGCUUUAUCAACCGAUCAAUCUUACGGUGAAGUUGAAGCAGAGAAUGGAGAAUUAGGUUUUGGUUUGGAAGAAGAAGAGAGAAUGGAGAAUUUGGAUUUCUCAAGAAAGAAGAGAGAAGAAGAGAGAAUGGAGACUUUUCUCAAGGAAGAAGAGAGAAGGGGUGUAUUUAUAAGUACACGUUUGUUCAAUGAAAAAAGGAAAUUUUGAUUGUUUCCUUUUCUUAUUUGAGUAGCAGAAACAAAAAGGAAAUUUUAUCACAACGGUAACAAAAGGAUACGCCUAACCCUAACCGUAUCAC